AUGCUCAACGGCGAGCUCCAAGGAGGAACGCAGCUACAGACACUUGCCUGCUUUGGCCGCGGCGACCCUGCCGGCCGGCUUGCGCGGCGAGGACACCGACGGCGCCAACCUGCUGCCGCCGCUGCCGCUGCUCUUGGAGGACGGCGACCGUGCCCACGUCUUGGCGCGCGGGCUCGACGUCGGGACCGUCUCGACUACGACGUCCGGCACCGUCGCGCUGCUGUGCACGCCCUCGUCGCCGCACAGCGAGUUGGCCUCGCUGCCGGAGUCGGAGCCCCUGCCGAUGUGCAGGACCGCCGCCUUGCCCCUCUCCCUCUCCAACACCCUGUACGCGUACAUCUCGAACGGCACGUCGGCCACGCGCGGCGCCGCCGCGUCCCCCUGCCGCCGCUGCCACGCCGGGAGCUUCUUCUGCAGCAGCGCCUCGAUGUCCAGGUAGUCCACCGCCGGUGUCGGCGUCGGCGGCGGCGCUGGCGUCGACGUCGACGCGUCCGCCUGGCCGCCGUGCUGCUCCGGGUUCAUGACGAGGAACCGCUUGACGUAGCGGAGGACGCGGCAGAUGGUGCUGAAGGCCGGCCGCUGCGCCGGGUCGCCGUGCCAGCAGCGCCUGGUGAGGCCGGUGAGGUACUUGGGCGCCUGGAACGGGAACAGCGGCCUCUCGCCGGCGCGGAUGUUCUUGCUCAUGUUGUCGCCCUGCAGGUGGUUGUCCUCGAACGGGAUCUUGCCGGUCAGCAGCUCGAAGCUGAUCAUGCCGAAGCUGUACACGUCCGCCUUCUCCGUACGCCUCGCCGCCGCCUGCCCGGGCUCGUCGUUCUCCAGCACCUCCGGCGCGUACCAGAUGCAGGGGUUGACGCUGCCAUUUUGCCCACUGGCAUUGGCGUUUGCGUUUGCGCCGGCGGCGGCGGCGUGCGACGCCUUCCGGCCGGGGCUGACCACGGCGGCUGCGGCGGGGUCGCCGGCGAACCCGGCGACCUUGACGACCAGGUACGCGUCGGGGGCGCCGCCACGCGUCUUGACGAGCACGUUGGACGGGUUGAGCUCGCCGUGGUAGAUCUUCCUGGAGUGGAGGUGCUCCAUGCCGCGCGCGAUCUGCAGCAUGGCGUCCACGACGACGACGAGCGGGAGCUGCGCGCGCGGCCGCUUGGCGCUGCCGCUCGCCUCCUUGAAGAAGCUCCCGAGGUCCUUGCUCAUGAUCUGGUCCAUGACGAGGUACGCCUCCCGCUUCUCCUCGUCGCGGAAGCGGUACCGGCAGUGCGCCACGUUCGGGUGCGCCACCGACGUGAGCAGCGCGGCCUCGGCGCCGACCGCGGCGUCGUCGGCGUCCACCCCGACGUAGUGCUUCACGGCGAAGGCCUCCCCCAUCCACUGCACCUCCUUCAGGCUUCCGCCGAGGCGCCGCCGCAUGUGGAAGUCGCCGAGGAGGAGCGCGGACGCCGGGUGCGGCUCCCCGCGCGGCGCGGCCAGGAGGUCCGCGAUCCGGUGCUCCUGCCGCGACAACGGCCUGGAUCUCAUCUCGUCGAGCAGCUGCGAGAGGAGCCACCUGUCCUCCGCCCACGCCGUGUCCAUCCGGGCGGCGAGCUCCUGCGUGGCCAGGUACGCCCUGCCCACCCUGCUCCGCCGGAACAGCGCCGGAUCGAGGAGGUCCUUGUCGUAGUCCCUGGCGAAGAGCACGCGCCGCCGCGCCAGCUCGUCGGGGUUGAGCGCCGCGGUGGCCUCGGCGACGACCUCGACGGCCUCGAGCACGACGGCAACGCACCAGAGGAGGCCGUGGAGGUGCAGCUCGACGGACUCGACGCCGUGCGUGAGCGCGGCCGCGCGCGCCCACCAGCUCCCGCCGCCGCCUCCCGCGUGCAGGUCCCCGAAGCAGAGGCGGAUGUAGUGCUCGGCGUCGCGGACGGCGCGGCAGAGCUCGCGCAGCGGGGACUCGAGGGGCUUCCACCGGCCGGCGAGGCGGUCGUCGAAUCGGAGGCAGGCGCGCACCUCGGCGGCGACGGCGUCGAAGGCCAGCUCGCAGGCGUCGGCGAGGAGGCGGCACUGGCGCGGGUUGACGCGGAGCUCGUGGUGGAACGCCAUGAGCGCGGCGAUGCCGCCGAGGGCCUCGCCCACCUGCCGGAGCUGCUCCAUCGACGAUCCUUAAUUUGGGGCCUCGCUCGCUCGGCUCGUACGAUCGAGAAGAAAGAUGGGUGUGGCUGGUGGACGGAUACGAAUGCAGCCAUGCAUGCAUGCAUUCGUUUUUUUUCCUUCUCUCCCGCACGGUGGAAAAAAAAAUUGUAUUACACCAGCUUGCUUACUUUUUCUUAA
Molecule: ribosomal RNA, 2301 nt
Filed under: Triticum aestivum (bread wheat)
Lineage: Eukaryota; Viridiplantae; Streptophyta; Magnoliopsida; Poales; Poaceae
Description: partial small subunit ribosomal RNA
Source: RNAcentral